AGCAGCCGCGGUAAUUCCAGCUCCAAUAGCGUAUAUUAAAGUUGUUGCAGUUAAAAGCUCGUAGUUGAACUUCGGGGUUUAUUCAUUGGUCAGGCUUAAUUGUCUGUACUGGUGAGAUGAAUCUCUACCUUCUGAGGAACUUUCAUGCCAUUCAGUUGGUGUGAUAGGAAAUCAGGACUAUUACUUUGAAAAAUUAGAGUGUUUAAAGCAGGCUAAAGUCUGAAUAUAUUAGCAUGGAAUAAUGAAAUAGGACGGCUUGGUUCUAUUUCGUUGGUUUCUAGGAUCACCGUAAUGAUUAAUAGGGAUAGUUGGGGACAUUAGUAUUCAAUUGUCAGAGGUGAAAUUCUUGGAUUUAUUGAAGACUAACUACUGCGAAAGCAUUUGCCAAGGAUGUUUUCAUUAAUCAAGAACGAAAGUUAGGGAUCGAAGACGAUCAGAUACCGUCGUAGU
RNAcentral lists this ribosomal RNA (450 nucleotides) under uncultured Glomeromycotina. RNAcentral's name for it is "SSU rRNA". It matches the Rfam family "Eukaryotic small subunit ribosomal RNA", at positions 569 to 1024 of the family's 1831-position model. Lineage: Eukaryota; Fungi; Glomeromycota. The record is from RNAcentral.